This 385-nucleotide ribosomal RNA is filed under the name uncultured bacterium. Its description in RNAcentral is "bacterial SSU rRNA". It matches the Rfam family "Bacterial small subunit ribosomal RNA", at positions 28 to 414 of the family's 1533-position model. The record is from RNAcentral.
GAUGAACGCUAGCGGCAGGCCUAAUACAUGCAAGUCGAACGGUAAGGCCCUUUCGGGGUACACGAGUGGCGGACGGGUGCGUAACGCGUAUGCAACAUGCCUUCCAGCGGGGGAUAUGCCAGGGAAACUUGGUGCAAUACCCCAUGGUAUUCUCGGGUCACAUGGCCUGGGGAUUAAAAACUCCGGUGCUGGGAGAUUGGCAUGCGUGACAUUAGCUAGUUGGCGGGGUAACGGCCCACCAAGGCGACGAUGUCUAGCUGGUCUGAGAGGAUGAUCAGCCACACUGGGACUGAGACACGGCCCAGACUCCUACGGGAGGCAGCAGUAGGGAAUAUUGGACAAUGGGCGAAAGCCUGAUCCAGCCAUGCCGCGUGAGGGAAGAAGG